UACGUAGGGGGCGAGCGUUAUCCGGAUUCACUGGGUGUAAAGGGAGCGUAGACGGCCAAGCAAGCCAGGGGUGAAAGCCCGGGGCCCAACCCCGGGACUGCCCUUGGAACUGCAUGGCUGGAGUGCGGGAGGGGCAGGCGGAAUUCCUGGUGUAGCGGUGAAAUGCGUAGAUAUCAGGAGGAACACCGGCGGCGAAGGCGGCCUGCUGGACUGCGACUGACGUUGAGGCUCGAAAGCGUGGGGAGCAAACAGG
RNAcentral lists this ribosomal RNA (253 nucleotides) under uncultured bacterium. RNAcentral's name for it is "partial 16S ribosomal RNA". It matches the Rfam family "Bacterial small subunit ribosomal RNA", at positions 524 to 776 of the family's 1533-position model. The record is from RNAcentral.